This 495-nucleotide ribosomal RNA is filed under the name uncultured bacterium. RNAcentral describes it as "partial 16S ribosomal RNA". It matches the Rfam family "Bacterial small subunit ribosomal RNA", at positions 28 to 507 of the family's 1533-position model. The record is from RNAcentral.
GACGAACGCUGGCGGCGUGCCUAAUACAUGCAAGUAGAACGCUGAAGGAGGAGCUUGCUUCUCUGGAUGAGUUGCGAACGGGUGAGUAACGCGUAGGUAACCUGCCUGGUAGCGGGGGAUAACUAUUGGAAACGAUAGCUAAUACCGCAUAACAGUAGAUAUCGCAUGAUAUCUACUUGAAAGGUGCAAUUGCAUCACUACCAGAUGGACCUGCGUUGUAUUAGCUAGUUGGUGAGGUAACGGCUCACCAAGGCGACGAUACAUAGCCGACCUGAGAGGGUGAUCGGCCACACUGGGACUGAGACACGGCCCAGACUCCUACGGGAGGCAGCAGUAUGGAAUCUUCGGCAAUGGACGGAAGUCUGACCGAGCAACGCCGCGUGAGUGAAGAAGGUUUUCGGAUCGUAAAGCUCUGUUGUAAGAGAAGAACGAGUGUGAGAGUGGAAAGUUCACACUGUGACGGUAUCUUACCAGAAAGGGACGGCUAACUACGUG